UGGGGAAUUUUGGACAAUGGGCGCAAGCCUGAUCCAGCCAUGCCGCGUGCGGGAAGAAGGCCUUCGGGUUGUAAACCGCUUUUGUCAGGGAAGAAAUCUUCUGAGUUAAUACCUCGGGAGGAUGACGGUACCUGAAGAAUAAGCACCGGCUAACUACGUGCCAGCAGCCGCGGUAAUACGUGGGGUGCAAGCGUUAAUCGGAAUUACUGGGCGUAAAGCGUGCGCAGGCGGUUUUGUAAGACAGAGGUGAAAUCCCCGGGCUCAACCUGGGAACUGCCUUUGUGACUGCAAGGCUUGAGUGCGGCAGAGGGGGGAUGGAAUUCCGCGUGUAGCAGUGAAAUGCGUAGAUAUGCGGAGGAACACCGAUGGCGAAGGCAAUCCCCUGGGCCUGCACUGACGCUCAUACACGAAAGCGUGGGGGAGCAAACAGGAUUAGACACCCUGGUAGUCCAGCGCCCUAAAACGAUGUCAACUGGUUGUUGGGAAGGUUCCUCCUCAGUAAACGUAGCUAACGCGUGAAGUUGACCGCCUGGGGAGUACGGCCGCAAGGUUGAAACUU
RNAcentral lists this ribosomal RNA (559 nucleotides) under uncultured bacterium. RNAcentral describes it as "partial 16S ribosomal RNA". It matches the Rfam family "Bacterial small subunit ribosomal RNA", at positions 355 to 902 of the family's 1533-position model. The record is from RNAcentral.